Long non-coding RNA from Uranotaenia lowii, 372 nucleotides. RefSeq lists it as uncharacterized. NCBI's taxonomy places the organism in Eukaryota, Metazoa, Arthropoda, Insecta, Diptera, Culicidae. The record is from RefSeq and is a predicted model, not a curated record. The transcript is spliced from 2 exons.
ACUAGUUCAAUAAAUUUUUCCGAAAUACAUUACAGCAAUAGCCACUUUUAAAGAACGUAAUUGAAAUUUAUCUAGGAGUAGAAUUAGGUCUCAAGCAAUAAUAUUUUUAACAAAAAAUAAACGAACACGAAGGUCUCGUGAGCCAGUAAGAGCUAGAGCUAGCUGACUGUUAAGAAACCAUGGCCAGCGAAUCACUCCCUAGGGCAAGGCUUCACCCGGAAACGGUCGGGAAUCCUGAGAUGAAGAAUAAAGUGCUAGUGUCAAUAAAAAGGAUACAGUUUUGUUAUAAUUUAAAAUGUUGUCCCUGUAAUUUUGGAUAAUGUUCAAUAACAAAAUAUAGUGUAGGAAAUAAAAUUUAAUCCUUCGUUAGAA